RNAcentral lists this long non-coding RNA (341 nucleotides) under Gossypium barbadense (sea-island cotton). RNAcentral's name for it is "long non-coding RNA (GBAR_LNC017056)". Lineage: Eukaryota; Viridiplantae; Streptophyta; Magnoliopsida; Malvales; Malvaceae. The record is from RNAcentral.
UACAUAACAUUAACAUACACACACGUACACAAUAUAAAUUACAUAACAAACUACACAAUUUCAUACCAAAAACCACAAAGUUUCUACGUUUGGGACAACCAAAUUGAAUCAAACUCAAACCGACCUGAACUCAAACUCAAGAAGAUCUAAACUUGAAACAACCAGAACAUAAAAUGACUAAAUUCAGAGACAGAUCCAAUCCAAAAUAAUUGGAAAAUUUUACAACCCGAACCAACCCAACCCAAAUUUAUUAUGAAUGUAGGCAUCAAAAUUCUUCCUCACUAAAUGAUAAGCAAAUGUCACUUGAAACCCAUGUUGCCUAGCAUAAUUGAGCUCCGCUG